GAUGAACGCUGGCGGCGUGCUUAACACAUGCAAGUCGAACGGACAGGCCCUGCGUUUGUGCGGUGCUCGAGUGGCGAGCGGGUGAGUAACACGUGAGUAACCUGCACUUGACUUUGGGAUAACUUCAGGAAACUGGGGCUAAUACCGGAUAGGAGCUCCUGCUGCAUGGUGUGGGUUGGAAAGUUUCGGCGGUUGGGGAUGGACUCGCGGCUUACCAGCUUGUUGGUGGGGUAGUGGCUGACCAGGGCUUUGACGGGUAGCCGGCCUGAGAGGGUGACCGGCCACAUGGGGACUGAGAUACGGCGCAGACUCCUACGGGAGGCAGCAGUGGGGAAUAUUGCACAAUGGGCGGAAGCCUGAUGCAGCAACGCCGCGUGCGGGAUGACGGCCUUCGGGUUGUAAACCGCUUUCGCCUGUGACGAAGCGUGAGUGACGGUAAUGGGUAAAGAAGCACCGGCUAACUACGUG
This 468-nucleotide ribosomal RNA is filed under the name uncultured bacterium. Its description in RNAcentral is "partial 16S ribosomal RNA". It matches the Rfam family "Bacterial small subunit ribosomal RNA", at positions 28 to 507 of the family's 1533-position model. The record is from RNAcentral.